Molecule: transfer RNA, 77 nt
Filed under: Candidatus Rokuibacteriota bacterium
Lineage: Bacteria; Candidatus Rokuibacteriota
Description: tRNA-Arg
Rfam family: tRNA
About the family: Transfer RNA (tRNA) molecules are approximately 80 nucleotides in length. Their secondary structure includes four short double-helical elements and three loops (D, anti-codon, and T loops).
Source: RNAcentral
GCGCCCUUAGCUCAGAUGGAUAGAGCGUCGGACUACGAAUCCGAAGGUCGGGGGUUCGAUUCCCUCAGGGCGCACCA